RNAcentral lists this ribosomal RNA (2544 nucleotides) under Triticum aestivum (bread wheat). RNAcentral describes it as "partial small subunit ribosomal RNA". Lineage: Eukaryota; Viridiplantae; Streptophyta; Magnoliopsida; Poales; Poaceae. The record is from RNAcentral.
AUGUCCUCCUACACCCCAGGAAGGAGAGGUCUGGUCUUCGCAGAUCACAUGGCCCGGGGCUUCAAACCGCCCGGCUCCAAAUUUUAUCGGGAUGUGUUAGCCAACUUUCAACUCCGUCCACAGGAUAUUGGCCCCAACUCCGUCACCAAUCUAUGUCACUUUCAAGUACUUUCUGAGGCAUACCUUCAAGACGAGCCUUCAGUUGAGUUAUUUAGAGAUCUCUUUCAUCUGAACCGCCGUACUGAAUUCACUGACGGCCCUAAUACCGAACUUGGCGGUAUGGCCAUUCAGAAAAGGAAAGAAAUCACCUAUCCCCACGUCAAACUCCAUACUCACCCCAAGGAAUGGAACGCAACUUGGUUUUAUUGCAAGGAUACCUCUCCUGACAAUGAAAAUCCCUUGCCUGGCUUCCGUCCGGAACGGCUCAGCAACACUCACCCUUUUCCACAAAGGCUAAGCGCCAAGGAGAGAAUUAAAUACGCUCCUCAACUAUCCAAGCUCCGGGCCUUCAUGGCCAAUGGUUUAACAGGAAUAGACCUUGCACGCUGCUGGAUAUCAUGGAGCAUUUUGCCUCUAAGCCGGCGCCCAAAUUUGAUGUGCGAGUAUACUGAUAGUGUCGAUGACCCACUCCGACAUACUAAAAUCCAGCUCCCUGAUGACGAAGUCACAGAAUCUGUGAAAAAGAUGCUGAAUGAACCGGAGCACCUCUGUGCUCAAACCGGUCUGCCUCCUUACUGCACCACCAACAAACCGCCAGCGGGUGAUAAUCCAUUUUGGAGCAAGAAACUUCCUCAAGACAAAACGGAAAAGGCAGGACGGCCAACCCGGCCCAAGACCAAGGUUAUCAAGAAGCCAGCUCAUAAGAGAAAAACCACCGCUUCAUCUGACCCAGCCAUUGACGAUGAUGUGGGUAAUCCGGAUCUUGAGGAUGACGCUGAAGCCAGCAAUGCGGGUUUUGUUGAGACCCAGCAACACGAAGCUUGCCGCACAACCCGGCACAGUGGCCGGGUAGUUACCUCUGCCGGUUUACCAAACAGUCCGGUUCGAAAACGCCGCUCCGAGGUCACUUCUCAUUCAUCGUCUGGUGAAUCAUCGGCCACCCAGCUACCACCUUUGAAAACAGUUGCUGGGGCUAAACCGAAACCAAGCAAGAAGGCCCGCCUGGAUAGAGCGGCUGAAGAAGAUGUGGCCCCAGAACAUGACCAAGCACCUGAUCAUGAAGUGUUUACUUGUGAAGAUAUCCCCAAUGAUCCUCCUCUGCAAGACGACGUUAUCCCUGAAGAAGGUCCUAUUCAUAUUCCAGCCUCUGCUGAUCCGCCUGCCAGCUCUGUCCAGAUUGAGAAAUCCCACACUCCUGCUGACAAACCGGCCGCACCAACCCAAACCGGCGAGUCAAAAGAUGAUGAUGUUGUGAUUACCGGCGUAGGCCGCUCUGAACCUAGGAAUCCUGCCACCCUUACCAGGCAUACCAUCAAAGAGGAUUCUUCCCCUUUGAACAAAGGAAAAUGGGGUGUUGAAUUAGAGACAUACGCCAAUCUGAAUGCUCAAGAUCUUCACUCUGGCUACUUAAACCGGCUUUAUACUAGCCGUGACUGUGAAGCUGGCUUGGUCAAAAUGAUGAGGGAUAAAUUUGAGGCUGAAGUGAAAAUGAAGGAGGACCAGAUUGCCGAUUUGCAGGAGGCCCUAAAGACCCAGCAGGCUGAAACAGAUAAGGCAAAGCAAGAAUUGACCAGCGCUUUGAGCACUGCUGAACGGCUGAAAGAAGGCUUCAAGAAAGAGCGGGCUGACUGGGCCACUGAGAAGGCCGGUUUAACCAAAAGAGCAGAAAAUGCUGAAGCGGCCCUUAAACCGGUGGUGGAUGAACUGACGGCCGUACAGCGGCAAAUACACUCUAUGACUGCUGCAAUCUUUGGCACACGUAUUGGGCACUUAGGAAAUGAUGUGCGGAAGAAAUUGAAAGCUGCCUACACCUUGGUGGAACAAUUGUAUACCGGAGCCCAACGGAUCAUCACCACAGCUUCCUAUAACAACCCGGCGCCCUCUUUAAUCCAGGACACUCUUAGCAAGCUGUCAAUGCUUCCAGCCCGGAUUGAGGAGCUGAAAAAAUCCGCUGCCCGAACCGGAGCCAUCAAUGCCUUAAUCCGGGCAAAGGCAUGGGUGCCCGACUUUGAUCCUGUGGAAGCAGCUCAAGGCUAUCCCAGUCUGAAAGAAGAUGGCUCUGAAUUCAACGAAGAGGAUUUAAGGGCCAUAAAUCGUGCAGUGCGCCCGCUGGCUUGCCAGCUAGCUGAAGAGGCAGAUUUGACGCAUUAUCAAGCGGGAUAUAAUAAUCAAAACAAGCGAGUGCCGGCCCCAACUGUUGAAGCGGAGAAUCUGAUUCCUCCAACCCGUAAGCACACUUACGCCCCUGAUAUUGAACCGUCUUCCCUGAUCCAUGAAGAGGCUGUUUUCCAAGCUUUAAUGGGAAUCGACUGGACCACUGUUGAUUUCCAGCCAAUGGGUAGAGACGAGGAAGCUGAAGCGGCGGAGGAUGAGGAGCAGGCUUGA